Molecule: ribosomal RNA, 255 nt
Filed under: Klebsiella pneumoniae
Lineage: Bacteria; Pseudomonadati; Pseudomonadota; Gammaproteobacteria; Enterobacterales; Enterobacteriaceae
Description: partial 16S ribosomal RNA
Rfam family: Bacterial small subunit ribosomal RNA
Source: RNAcentral
GGAGGCAGCAGUGGGGAAUAUUGCACAAUGGGCGCAAGCCUGAUGCAGCCAUGCCGCGUGUGUGAAGAAGGCCUUCGGGUUGUAAAGCACUUUCAGCGGGGAGGAAGGCGGUGAGGUUAAUAACCUCAUCGAUUGACGUUACCCGCAGAAGAAGCACCGGCUAACUCCGUGCCAGCAGCCGCGGUAAUACGGAGGGUGCAAGCGUUAAUCGGAAUUACUGGGCGUAAAGCGCACGCAGGCGGUCUGUCAAGUCGG